This is a long non-coding RNA of Syngnathus acus (greater pipefish), 1135 nucleotides long. RefSeq lists it as uncharacterized. The record is from RefSeq and is a predicted model, not a curated record. The transcript is spliced from 2 exons. Lineage: Eukaryota; Metazoa; Chordata; Actinopteri; Syngnathiformes; Syngnathidae.
GGUUGAUGGGUCACAAAGACCUGGUGGACCAGAUGGACCCUUUGGACCGGCUGCUCCCGGGACGCCGGGGCUUCCUUGUUCGCCACGUUCUCCAUCCUUGCCAUCUUUACCGAUGCCGGGAGCACCUGGAAUACCUAAGCUCCAGGGUCACCUACAAAAAGGAGCCAGUUGAUUGGGAUCUACCCAAGUCUUUGGGUUAUCUCAAUCCUGACCUUUCUUUCCCGGUGAACCUGGCAUGCCAAAGUAGCCCGGAUGGCCUUUGACCCCCAUGGGCCCUUGAGCUCCCGGUGGUCCCGGAGCACCGUCAGCUCCAGCAGGGCCCGGUGGUCCCGCUUGUCCUGGGACGCCUGGAGCUCCCAAUGCAGCGGGUCUCUUUAGGAAAUCUUUCAUGAAUUCUCCUAAUUGUUCUGCAAAGUCCAGAAUAUGGAACAAGUCAAUUUGUGCCACCAUUUCAAGUCAAAACGUACAAACUAACCUUCAACCACAGCCGAGCACAUUUCCCGAAGGUUGUCAUCGCUAACUCUUGGGCCCUGUGAGGAGUUCAUAAAUGUGGAUAAGCACAUUUUAUUUUGAAAAGCAACUUCCGGUAGAGUCAGCAGGCGCAACGCUUACAGGCAGACCUCUGGGACCCGGUGCCCCAGGUGAACCCGGCUCUCCCUCCAGCCCUCGGGAUCCCAUUGGACCAGCCACGCCCAAAUGGCCUGGCCGACCCGGUCUACCUUCUGGUCCGGUUGCUCCUCUGUCGCCCUUUGUUCCAUACUGAGUCGAACAGUGUAAAUCAAAGCCAGUCCACUCUGGUUAUAAACAUGAAAAAAAUAUUUAUACCUCUCCUUUAAUUCCAGGAAUUCCAGGUGGACCCUGAUGGAGAGAUGCUAGGUUUAAUGUUUCAUUCAAACCAAUGAAGCCACAAUACAAAACAUACCUGAUCUCCCUUGACUCCAGGAUCUCCGGGAAGACCUGUAGCUCCCUGAAUCAUACGUUUUAGUCAUUAAAUACAAAUAAUAUGUUUGCAAUAGAGGUAAACAUACCAAACUUCCUUUUGGUCCCUCUGGUCCCAUCGGCCCCUAUCGACAGAACUUUAAUCAAUACUUUUGUUUGCUUCGUGGCAUUUUAGUAAGAAGAUCAUCCAACCUGA